RNAcentral lists this ribosomal RNA (447 nucleotides) under uncultured bacterium. RNAcentral's name for it is "bacterial SSU rRNA". It matches the Rfam family "Bacterial small subunit ribosomal RNA", at positions 329 to 793 of the family's 1533-position model. The record is from RNAcentral.
GGCCAGACUCCUACGGGAGGCAGCAGUGGGGAAUAUUGCACAAUGGGGGAAACCCUGAUGCAGCGACGCCGCGUGAGUGAAGAAGUAUUUCGGUAUGUAAAGCUCUAUCAGCAGGGAAGAAAAUGACGGUACCUGACUAAGAAGCCCCGGCUAACUACGUGCCAGCAGCCGCGGUAAUACGUAGGGGGCAAGCGUUAUCCGGAUUUACUGGGUGUAAAGGGAGCGUAGACGGCAUGGCAAGUCAGAUGUGAAAGCCCGGGGCUCAACCCCGGGACUGCAUUUGAAACUGUCAGGCUGGAGUGCAGGAGAGGUAAGUGGAAUUCCUAGUGUAGCGGUGAAAUGCGUAGAUAUUAGGAGGAACACCAGUGGCGAAGGCGGCUUACUGGACUGUAACUGACGUUGAGGCUCGAAAGCGUGGGGAGCAAACAGGAUUAGAUACCCUAGUAC